This 777-nucleotide ribosomal RNA is filed under the name uncultured bacterium. RNAcentral describes it as "bacterial SSU rRNA". It matches the Rfam family "Bacterial small subunit ribosomal RNA", at positions 8 to 796 of the family's 1533-position model. The record is from RNAcentral.
AGAGUUUGAUCCUGGCUCAGGAUGAACGCUGGCGGCGUGCUUAACACAUGCAAGUCGAACGAACUGAGGAGUGCUUGCACUCCAAGGUUAGUGGCGGACGGGUGAGUAACGCGUGGGUAACCUGCCUCAUGCAGGGGGAUAACGUUUGGAAACGAACGCUAAUACCGCAUAAACUAUGGAUUACCGCAUGGUAAUUAUAGCAAAGAUUUUAUCGGCAUGAGAUGGACCCGCGUUGGAUUAGCUAGUUGGUGAGAUAACAGCCCACCAAGGCGACGAUCCAUAGCCGGCCUGAGAGGGUGAACGGCCACAUUGGGACUGAGACACGGCCCAAACUCCUACGGGAGGCAGCAGUGGGGAAUAUUGCACAAUGGGCGCAAGCCUGAUGCAGCGACGCCGCGUGAAGGAUGAAGGUCUUCGGAUUGUAAACUUCUAUCAGCAGGGAAGAAUAAAUGACGGUACCUGACUAAGAAGCUCCGGCUAACUACGUGCCAGCAGCCGCGGUAAUACGUAGGGAGCGAGCGUUAUCCGGAUUUACUGGGUGUAAAGGGUGCGCAGGCGGCCUGGUAAGUCAGAAGUGAAAUUUCGGGGCUCAACCCCGGAGCUGCUUCUGAAACUGCUAGGCUAGAGUGUGGGAGAGGAAAGUGGAAUUCCGAGUGUAGCGGUGAAAUGCGUAGAGAUUCGGAGGAACACCAGUAGCGAAGGCGGCUUUCUGGACCAUAACUGACGCUCAGGCACGAAAGCGUGGGGAGCAAACAGGAUUAGAUACCCUGGUAGUCC